Long non-coding RNA from Lolium perenne, 742 nucleotides. RefSeq lists it as uncharacterized. The record is from RefSeq and is a predicted model, not a curated record. Lineage: Eukaryota; Viridiplantae; Streptophyta; Magnoliopsida; Poales; Poaceae.
GAAAGAUAUAUCAUUAAUAGUUUCAUAUAGAUGCAUCUUUGCUGAUCACUGAAUAUGGAUCGUUUGUAUUUUAUUAACUUUUAACCCAGACAUUGAAUAAUGAGACAUCAUUUCUGGUUUCCUUUGGGAAAAAGAAUGCAUAAGUCCUAUGGUCGAUUUGCAUUAGUUUUCGUGCUACAGUUUUUCUAUAACGAUUGCAUGUCCAACUGUAUAUUGUUCCUUAUGGUUGGUGGUCUGGAUCCAUUGCAACAGAUGCAGAUUUAGUACUAUUAAGUCCAUGCUAGACAUGUUUUAUAUUAUUGAACUAUUAUCAUUUUUAGCCGGAGUAACGUGUGUUUACAUUUUGGUUCUCUUAACUUCUGGAACUUGAAAUAGGCUUGGCAUUCGAAAGGAGGAUCUUCCCAAGAUCGAGGAAGAACUUGAAAUGGAAAUUGCUAAAAGCGAGCUGUCAGAACUUAAGAAGGAAUGUGUUGAAGCCAUGGAGGGUCAACUAAAGAGGGAGGAGUUUAAGGACGAGGUGAUGCCUGAUGUCAGGAAGUUGGACAUUAGAAACUUCCUGUAGGUCCUGACUGAUGAUAAUCCGCACGGUGUUUGCAAAUGCCGACCGAAUCUGUGAUUUUUUCUUUUCAAGCGACAGCCGAUGCUGCAGGCCACACCUAAUGGAUGUUAUUGUUGCUUUUCUGUAAUAAAACUGUACUGAAAAUACAAUGACAGCCAACCAUUGAGUUGAGUUACUUGGUUA